GGGCGGUUAGCUCAGUUGGUAGAGCACGUGCCUUACAAGCACGGGGUCGCUGGUUCGAGCCCAGCACCGCCCA
Molecule: transfer RNA, 73 nt
Filed under: Conexibacter sp.
Lineage: Bacteria; Bacillati; Actinomycetota; Thermoleophilia; Solirubrobacterales; Conexibacteraceae
Also listed under: 3 other names
Description: tRNA-Val
Rfam family: tRNA
About the family: Transfer RNA (tRNA) molecules are approximately 80 nucleotides in length. Their secondary structure includes four short double-helical elements and three loops (D, anti-codon, and T loops).
Source: RNAcentral